GGUCUCAUCGUCUAGUGGUAGGAUAGUCGUUUCGGGCUCCUCGGAACCUCGCUGAACUGAAGCGAUAAUAACCAGUCUUAUGGCUGACCCGGGUUCGAAUCCCGGUGAGACCC
RNAcentral lists this transfer RNA (113 nucleotides) under Tilletia horrida. RNAcentral's name for it is "tRNA-Pro". It matches the Rfam family "tRNA". From Rfam's summary of the family: Transfer RNA (tRNA) molecules are approximately 80 nucleotides in length. Lineage: Eukaryota; Fungi; Basidiomycota; Exobasidiomycetes; Tilletiales; Tilletiaceae. The record is from RNAcentral.